This 172-nucleotide ribosomal RNA is filed under the name uncultured bacterium. RNAcentral describes it as "partial 16S ribosomal RNA". It matches the Rfam family "Bacterial small subunit ribosomal RNA", at positions 338 to 524 of the family's 1533-position model. The record is from RNAcentral.
CCUACGGGAGGCAGCAGUGGGGGAUAUUGCGCAAUGGGGGAAACCCUGACGCAGCGACGCCGCGUGAGCGAGGAAGGCCUUCGGGUCGUAAAGCUCUGCCCCUGGGGACGAAUUAAGUGACGGUACCUGGGGAGGAAGCCCCGGCUAACUACGUGCCAGCAGCCGCGGUAAU